AGCCUGCCCAGUGACUAAGUUAAACGGCCGCGGUACCCUAACCGUGCAAAGGUAGCGCAAUCACUUGUUCUUUAAAUGAGGACUAGUAUGAACGGCAUCACGAGGGUUAUACUGUCUCCCUAUUCCAUUCAGUGAAACUGAUCUUCCCGUGAAGAAGCGGGAAUAUAAAUAUAAGACGAGAAGACCCCAUGGAGCUUUAAACUCAGUGUCAUCUGCCACUUCAAUACCCUCUUAACCACGCAGACAUGGUAACUAGUUUUCGGUUGGGGUGACCGCGGAGUAAAACAAAACCUCCACAACGAAAGGAACUAACAACCUAAUCCAAGAGCAACAUCUCUAAGAAUCAACAAAUUGACUUAAUUGAUCCAAUUACUUGAUCAACGAACCAAGUUACCCUGGGGAUAACAGCGCAAUCCAUUUCAAGAGCUCAUAUCGACAAAUGGGUUUACGACCUCGAUGUUGGAUCAGGGUAUCCCAGUGGCGCAGCAGCUACUAACGGUUCGUUUGUUCAACGAUUAAA
This 520-nucleotide ribosomal RNA is filed under the name Microhyla nilphamariensis. RNAcentral describes it as "partial 16S ribosomal RNA". It matches the Rfam family "Bacterial large subunit ribosomal RNA", at positions 1856 to 2592 of the family's 2925-position model. Lineage: Eukaryota; Metazoa; Chordata; Amphibia; Anura; Microhylidae. The record is from RNAcentral.